CGCGAGUAUUCAGAGUUUGAUCCUGGCUCAGGAUGAACGCUGGCUGUGUGCCUAAUACAUGCAUGUCGAGCGAAGUGAUUUAUCACUUAGCGGCGAAUGGGUGAGUAACACGUACUCAACGUACCCUUCAGUUUGGCAUAGCGGUUGGAAACAACCGAUAAUUCCAAAUACUCGUAGAUGCCGCAUGGCAUUUACGGAAAAGACGCCUUAAAGCGUCGCUGGAGGAGCGGGGUGCUCAACAUUAGCUAGUUGGUGAGGUAACGGCCCACCAAGGCGACGAUCCAUAGCCGGCCUGAGAGGGUGAACGGCCACAUUGGGACUGAGACACGGCCCAA
This 335-nucleotide ribosomal RNA is filed under the name uncultured bacterium. RNAcentral's name for it is "bacterial SSU rRNA". It matches the Rfam family "Bacterial small subunit ribosomal RNA", at positions 1 to 334 of the family's 1533-position model. The record is from RNAcentral.